This 550-nucleotide ribosomal RNA is filed under the name uncultured bacterium. Its description in RNAcentral is "bacterial SSU rRNA". It matches the Rfam family "Bacterial small subunit ribosomal RNA", at positions 355 to 896 of the family's 1533-position model. The record is from RNAcentral.
UAGGGAAUCUUCCACAAUGGGCGAAAGCCUGAUGGAGCAACGCCGCGUGUGUGAUGAAGGCUUUAGGGUCGUAAAGCACUGUUGUAUGGGAAGAAAUGCUAGAAUAGGGAAUGAUUCUAGUUCGACGGUACCAUACCAGAAAGGGACGGCUAAAUACGUGCCAGCAGCCGCGGUAAUACGUAUGUCCCGAGCGUUAUCCGGAUUUAUUGGGCGUAAAGCGAGCGCAGACGGUUGAUUAAGUCUGAUGUGAAGGCCCGGAGCUCAACUCCGGAAUGGCAUUGGAAACUGGUUAACUUGAGUGUUGUAGAGGUAAGUGGAACUCCAUGUGUAGCGGUGGAAUGCGUAGAUAUAUGGAAGAACACCAGUGGCGAAGGCGGCUUACUGGACAACAACUGACGUUGAGGCUCGAAAGUGUGGGUAGCAAACAGGAUUAGAUACCCUGGUAGUCCACACCGUAAACGAUGAAUACUAGGUGUUAGGAGGUUUCCGCCUCUUAGUGCCGAAGCUAACGCAUUAAGUAUUCCGCCUGGGGAGUACGACCGCAAGGUUG